AUAUGUUUAUCAUGAUAACUUCAUCUGUGCAUUUGAUAUGAACAGUAUGUAAUUCAAACGGGAGGAAAGUAUUUAGCGUUUGGACAUGGGUAGGAUGUAACAUAUGGAUUUUCAAAUAUUAUGUAGUGGUCGGCAUGGAUUUGUGGUGGCGGUUACAGGGAUAGAAAAUGUUGGAAAAGGGUUAAUUCGUGAUGGUACAGGGUUCGUGACAUUUCCGGUUAAGUACCAAUGUGUCGUCUUCAGACCAUUUAAGGGAGAGAUCUUAGAAGCUGUUGUUACCAUGGUGAAUAAGAUGGGAUUUUUUUGCUGAAGCUGGACCUGUUCAAAUCUUCGUCUCAAACCAUUUGAUUCCAGAUGAUAUGGAGUUCCAGUCUGGUGACAUGCCAAAUUACACUACUUCAGAUGGAUCAGUUAAGAUUCAGAAAGAUAGUGAAGUGAGACUAAAGAUAAUUGGGACUCGAGUGGAUGCUACCGAAAUUUUCUGCAUAGGAACCAUAAAAGAUGAUUUCUUGGGUGUGAUCAACGACCCUGUAGCAAUCUAAAUGCGCCUUUCAGUGCCCUUCUAUGCAUGUAAUUAUCAAACUCUAUCAUUAUAGCUGAAUUUACUAAGUUGUCAGUGAAUUUACCUGGUCGAUGGAUCAAACUUUCUUAUUAUAUCACUGUGUUCAUGGUUGCAUCAGUGAACAACCUUGAAUUCCACUAAAAAUUUGGUCGUGUUUGUAUCUGCCAUUUUGUUAAAUAAUCACUUAUUUAUAAUCA
Molecule: long non-coding RNA, 759 nt
Organism: Lotus japonicus
Lineage: Eukaryota; Viridiplantae; Streptophyta; Magnoliopsida; Fabales; Fabaceae
Exons: 5
Source: RefSeq, a predicted model, not a curated record